Molecule: transfer RNA, 65 nt
Filed under: Metapenaeopsis barbata
Lineage: Eukaryota; Metazoa; Arthropoda; Malacostraca; Decapoda; Penaeidae
Description: tRNA-Ala
Source: RNAcentral
GGAGUUAUAGUCAAUGAUGAUAUUUGAUUUGCAUUCAAAAGGUGCUUCUUUAGAAGCUAACUUCA